AAGGGGUCCGUAAAACGGUAAAUUAAGCGAAAAUAUAAUAAUUUAAUCGAACUGAUUUACUAGAGUCUUAUAGAGGAACAGAGGAAUUGCAAGAGUAAGGAUGAAAUCUAUUGAUACUUGUAGGACCGCCAAAGGCGAAGGCAUCGUUCCAGGUAAAGACUGACGUUGAGGGACGUAGGCGUUGGGAGCGAAAAGGAUUAGAUACCCCUGUAGUCAACGCUGUAAACGAUGAGUGCUUAAGAUUAGUAAUAAUCUUAUCUUAUUCUGUCGACAGAUAGAAUAAGAUAAGAUAAAAAUAAAAAAUUAGUCUCGAAAUGAAGAUGUUAAGCACUUCACCUGGGGAGUACUGUCGCAAGGCUGAAACCCAAAACAUUAGACGGUCAUGGAAACCAGCAGUGAAGCAUGUUAUUUAAUACGAUGAUCCGCGUACAACCUUACCACUUCUUGAAUGUCCUUUCUCUUAAAAAGGAAAGGCCUAUUUAAUUUGGAUAAAUACAACAGGCGUUGCAUGGCUGUCUUCAGUUCGUGUCGUGAGAUGUCAGGUUCAUUCCAAUAAACGAAUGAAACCCUUUUUUCUUAAUUUUUAAUUUCUUUUAAGUUUCUUAAUUGAAUUCAUUAAGAUGACCCUUGGAAAACGAGGAUAUAAUGGGGAUUAAGACAAGUCGUCAUGGCCUUUAUGAAGUGGGCUAUAGACGUGCCACAAGAGCUUUUACAAUGGGAUGCUAAGACGUGAGUCAGCGCUAAACCUUAAAAAAAGCUAUGUUCGGAUUGUAGUCUGCAACUCGACUACAUGAAGUAGGAAUUGCUAGUAAUCGUAA
RNAcentral lists this ribosomal RNA (818 nucleotides) under Taphrina tormentillae. RNAcentral's name for it is "SSU rRNA". It matches the Rfam family "Bacterial small subunit ribosomal RNA", at positions 562 to 1347 of the family's 1533-position model. The record is from RNAcentral. Lineage: Eukaryota; Fungi; Ascomycota; Taphrinomycetes; Taphrinales; Taphrinaceae.